AGUGAACGCUGGCGGUAGGCCUAACACAUGCAAGUCGAACAGCAGCACAGUAAGAGCUUGCUCUUACGGGUGGCGAGUGGCGGACGGGUGAGGAAUACAUCGGAAUCUACUUUUUCGUGGGGGAUAACGUAGGGAAACUUACGCUAAUACCGCAUACGACCUACGGGUGAAAGCAGGGGAUCUUCGGACCUUGCGCGAUUGAAUGAGCCGAUGUCGGAUUAGCUAGUUGGCGGGGUAAAGGCCCACCAAGGCGACGAUCCGUAGCUGGUCUGAGAGGAUGAUCAGCCACACUGGAACUGAGACACGGUCCAGACUCCUACGGGAGGCAGCAGUGGGGAAUAUUGGACAAUGGGCGAAAGCCUGAUCCAGCCAUACCGCGUGGGUGAAGAAGGCCUUCGGGUUGUAAAGCCCUUUUGUUGGGAAAGAAAAGCAGCAGGUUAAUACCCCGCUGUUCUGACGGUACCCAAAGAAUAAGCACCGGCUAACUUCGUG
Molecule: ribosomal RNA, 492 nt
Filed under: uncultured bacterium
Lineage: Bacteria
Description: partial 16S ribosomal RNA
Rfam family: Bacterial small subunit ribosomal RNA
Source: RNAcentral